GCAUGAGCCUGAGCGGCUGGACGCAAGACUGCAGCAACUCCUCGGCGAUCGAACCUUUGCCUGACCUCGGCAGCCUGAGCCUCAAACAAGCUAUUGACUAAAAAAGCCAUUAAAGAAAAUAAAAGCAUAAGAAAGAAGUAGACCCCAGCCGCAGCUGGCGACAUGUCAGCCAGAGGUGCCUCAGCAGCAUGAAUCUCAGGAGCCUCCUGGUCAAAUCUGUGUGUAAGGGUCAGAUCAAACAACCUCAUUCUUUCAUUAAGUAAAUCUACUAGUAGAUCAAGGUCCUCCACAUUCAUUUGCCUUGGUUGAGGCACCCUGUCCUCUGCAACAUCCACAGUAUUGUCAAAAAUCAGAUUAAUAUUGACAUUCAUUGCAACCUCUGAAUAAGAUGCAACUGUUUUGUAUAAUGCUGUGUACCGUUAAACGCUUCUCUGAAACAAUAGCAGACUAACCCCAAAGUGUGGGUUUAGGUCUGUGACUGCUGACGUCAUAGUGGCGCCCUGCGCUUUGAACUUUUUCCUUUGAUCUUUUUUUUUUUUUUUUAUGUCCGCCAUUUCAUUGUACGUUACUUUUUUUCUUUAUAUACUUUAUUAAGGCAUAUGACAGUAGUUAUACAUAAGUAAAUAUAUCGGAAACAAGAGGAUUAUAACAUAAAGAACUUAAAACAAGAACAACAUCGAAGCAGACAAUGUGAACAUGAAACUUUUAGGCCAGGGGGUGACUUAAUGGGUUAAGUUAAGUAAAAACAAUUAUGGAAAUUAUUAAGCUAAAUCUAUUUGAUUGGCGCCGAUUGAUGCAUUCACUUUCGGUUUACCGCGGACGUAAGGCUUUUGGUUGCGGCAUGUGAAAACAUUCUCAGCUGAUGAGAAUCAGCUAGGGAACAUGAUAGAAGCAAUGCCGUAUCUUACCUUGCCAAUGUCCUUCGUUUGGGCAUGUCUCCUGAAGCAUCCUUUAGUCAGUGGGCAUGGCAGCUGUUGCUGAGGCUGAAGCUCCAUAGCAAUUCCCAGAACCUUAAAGGAGCAUGGUUGGUCCCUGCUUUGACAUCCAGCCCACCUCCAGAGCUUACACAAACACUCUGAACAUGCACUCUGUUCUCAGGGCUGUAAAAGCAGGCAUCCCUAUUGGAUGCUACUUGUCCAUUGCCAUGACACCAGUAGGACACAGUCUGGAACACUUUUGUACUGACGGUAUUGGGUUGUUGAAGAGUCUGAUUCAGUCUCACCAUCUGAGAGCUGCUGUGCAUCUGCUGGAUAACAUCCUACCCCCAACCUACCAUCUCAGCUUCUGCCUACUCAACAACUCACAGUUUGUCAGUUGUAUCCAGAUGUUCUUGCAGUAUGACAGUGUGUCCCCUUGAGGUGUGACACUGCAGGCCACUCAUCGGGCAGCACCACUCCUUACAGGAGCCACCUAUGGAGAAAAUGUCCGACAGCUAAACGGUGUCAUUCAGAGUCAUGUGGUGGAAAGCUCACAGCCCAGUCGUGCCCUGGAGGUUUGGGUGGGAAUUCUGACAGCAGAACCUGUGGUACUGAGACAAAACAGUCCUAUUCUCAUCGAUCAGAUCUGUGCUGCAUUCACACACCACCAGGAGGAGUGUGUGCAGAAACCGCUUUACCAACAGCAUAAGGUGUUUACCCAGUUCUGUUUGUUUGCAUAAUGUAGGGACUCAGCGAUGGGUCUCAAAGGUGUUAACACUGUAAAUUGCCUUAGUUAUACUAUAAAGAUUCAUAGGACAUUAACAAUAGGUCACACAUUACAGGAAGUGCCAGCGCUUGUUGUUGAGGGAUGCUAAAAAGUGACCUUAAAGCCAUUACACUCUUCUUCAUACAAAUGUUCGGGCUGUGUCUCGUUUAUGUAUCUGCUCUAUCAUUAAUUAUUGUAUUUUUAAAGAACAAAUAGUUAAAUGUCUGCAUUUAGUCAUGAGUGAAAGGUUUUCAUCAAGAAAACCAGAGGAUGCCAGUACCACCUGUAAAGAAGGAUUAAGAACCAUGAUGCCUAUACUAUUUGUCAUUUUCUUCUCUCAGGCUACAAUGGAUUAUGCAUAACAAAAUGUCUCUUAAAAUAUAAAAGUUUCCUUUCUUCCUAAAUGAUAACUUCCUAGUGUUUCGCACCCUGGCUUUGUUGCUGGGUUGGGGGUAGGAUUAAUAGUAAAUAGACACGAAUCUGAUUUAGAUGUUUUAUUUACAAAAAAUGCACAUUUGCUGUGAAACCAUCUGUACAUUCAACAGCUUAAAUAUCGAUUUGAAUAGACAGACUUUUCUACAGCUUCUGGAAAACAUACCAAACUUCUAUUCCACUAAAUACAAUAUCAGAAUCAAGACUUUUCUCUGGUUUAUAAUUUCUUUGU
Molecule: RNA transcript, 2347 nt
Organism: Monopterus albus (swamp eel)
Lineage: Eukaryota; Metazoa; Chordata; Actinopteri; Synbranchiformes; Synbranchidae
Gene name: ectopic P granules protein 5 homolog
Exons: 5
Source: RefSeq, a predicted model, not a curated record